Molecule: ribosomal RNA, 253 nt
Filed under: uncultured bacterium
Lineage: Bacteria
Description: partial 16S ribosomal RNA
Rfam family: Bacterial small subunit ribosomal RNA
Source: RNAcentral
UACGUAGGGUGCGAGCGUUGUCCGGAAUUAUUGGGCGUAAAGGGCUCGUAGGCGGUCUGUCGCGUCGGGAGUGAAAACUCAGGGCUUAACCCUGAGCCUGCUUCCGAUACGGGCAGACUAGAGGUAUGCAGGGGAGAACGGAAUUCCUGGUGUAGCGGUGGAAUGCGCAGAUAUCAGGAGGAACACCGGUGGCGAAGGCGGUUCUCUGGGCAUUGCCUGACGCUGAGGAGCGAAAGUGUGGGGAGCGAACAGG